GGAUCAUUACAAGUGACCCCGGUCUAACCACCGGGAUGUUCAUAACCCUUUGUUGUCCGACUCUGUUGCCUCCGGGGCGACCCUGCCUUCGGGCGGGGGCUCCGGGUGGACACUUCAAACUCUUGCGUAACUUUGCAGUCUGAGUAAACUUAAUUAAUAAAUUAAAACUUUUAACAACGGAUCUCUUGGUUCUGGCAUCGAUGAAGAACGCAGCGAAAUGCGAUAAGUAAUGUGAAUUGCAGAAUUCAGUGAAUCAUCGAAUCUUUGAACGCACAUUGCGCCCCCUGGUAUUCCGGGGGGCAUGCCUGUUCGAGCGUCAUUUCACCACUCAAGCCUCGCUUGGUAUUGGGCAACGCGGUCCGCCGCGUGCCUCAAAUCGACCGGCUGGGUCUUCUGUCCCCUAAGCGUUGUGGAAACUAUUCGCUAAAGGGUGUUCGGGAGGCUACGCCGUAAAACAACCCCAUUUCUAAGGUUGACCUC
RNAcentral lists this ribosomal RNA (480 nucleotides) under Cladosporium tenuissimum. RNAcentral's name for it is "eukaryotic LSU rRNA". The stretch from base 166 to 319 matches the Rfam family "5.8S ribosomal RNA". The record is from RNAcentral. Lineage: Eukaryota; Fungi; Ascomycota; Dothideomycetes; Cladosporiales; Cladosporiaceae.